Molecule: ribosomal RNA, 253 nt
Filed under: uncultured bacterium
Lineage: Bacteria
Description: partial 16S ribosomal RNA
Rfam family: Bacterial small subunit ribosomal RNA
Source: RNAcentral
UACGUAGGGUGCAAGCGUUGUCCGGAUUGACUGGGCGUAAAGCGCACGCAGGCGGAUGCGCACGUGGGGUGUGAAAUCUGGCCGCUUAACGGCCAGGCGCCAUCCCAUACGGCGCGUCUGGAGUGAUGCAGAGGUCGAUGGAAUUGCCGGUGUAGUGGUGAAAUGCGUAGAGAUCGGCAGGAACACCCAGGGGGAAACCAGUCGACUGGGCAUCUACUGACGCUGAUGUGCGAGAGCGUGGGGAGCGAACCGG